GACGAACGCUGGCGGCGUGCUUAACACAUGCAAGUCGAGCGGAAAGGCCCUUCGGGGUACUCGAGCGGCGAACGGGUGAGUAACACGUGAGUAAUCUGCCUCUAGCUCUGGGAUAGCUCCGGGAAACCGGGAUUAAUACCGGAUACGACCACUCAAGACAUCUUCUGUGGUGGAAAGAAUUUCGGCUAGAGAUGAGCUCGCGGCCUAUCAGCUUGUUGGUGGGGUGACGGCCUACCAAGGCGACGACGGGUAGCCGGCCUGAGAGGGCGACCGGCCACACUGGGACUGAGACACGGCCCAGACUCCUACGGGAGGCAGCAGUGGGGAAUAUUGCGCAAUGGGCGAAAGCCUGACGCAGCGACGCCGC
RNAcentral lists this ribosomal RNA (367 nucleotides) under uncultured bacterium. Its description in RNAcentral is "bacterial SSU rRNA". It matches the Rfam family "Bacterial small subunit ribosomal RNA", at positions 28 to 400 of the family's 1533-position model. The record is from RNAcentral.